This 610-nucleotide ribosomal RNA is filed under the name uncultured Streptococcus sp. RNAcentral describes it as "bacterial SSU rRNA". It matches the Rfam family "Bacterial small subunit ribosomal RNA", at positions 166 to 776 of the family's 1533-position model. Lineage: Bacteria; Bacillati; Bacillota; Bacilli; Lactobacillales; Streptococcaceae. The record is from RNAcentral.
ACAUCUCACAAAAUGGUCAGCAGCACGAUACACACCAUCACAACUCAGAAUUCAUCGACACACUACAUAGUGGUACAGAACAGCUCACGCCCACACAGCCGAUGUCAGGCAACACUCACCCAGACACGACGGGUAGCGGCCUAAGAGGGUCACCACCACCCUGGCACUGAGUCCGGCACCAACUCCCACGGGAGGCAGCAGUGGGGAAUAUUGCACAAUGGGCGCAACCCUGAUGCAGCGACGCCGCAUGAGGCAUGACGGCCUUCGGGUUGUAAAACCUCUGUUAGCAGGGAAGAAGAGAGAUUGACGGUACCUGCAGAGAAGCGCCGGCUAACUACGUGCCAGCCGCCACGGUAAUACGUAGGGCGCGAGCGUUGUCCGGAAUUAUUGGGCGUAUAGAGCUGUAGGCGGUUUGUCGCGUCUGCUGUGAAAGACCGGAGCUUAACUCCGUGUAUUGCAGUGGGUACGGGCAGACUAGAGUGCAGUAGGGGAGACUGGAAUUCCUGGUGUAGCGGUGGAAUGCGCAGAUAUCAGGAGGAACACCGAUGGCGAAGGCAGGUCUCUGGGCUGUAACUGACGCUGAGAAGCGAAAGCAUGGGGAGCGAACAGG